GACGAACGCUGGCGGCGUGCCUAAUACAUGCAAGUAGAACGCUGAAGAGAGGAGCUUGCUCUUCUUGGAUGAGUUGCGAACGGGUGAGUAACGCGUAGGUAACCUGCCUGGUAGCGGGGGAUAACUAUUGGAAACGAUAGCUAAUACCGCAUGAAAUUGCUUAUCGCAUGAUAAUUAAUUGAAAGAUGCAAUUGCAUCACUACCAGAUGGACCUGCGUUGUAUUAGCUAGUUGGUGAGGUAACGGCUCACCAAGGCGACGAUACAUAGCCGACCUGAGAGGGUGAUCGGCCACACUGGGACUGAGACACGGCCCAGACUCCUACGGGAGGCAGCAGUAGGGAAUCUUCGGCAAUGGGGGGAACCCUGACCGAGCAACGCCGCGUGAGUGAAGAAGGUUUUCGGAUCGUAAAGCUCUGUUGUAAGAGAAGAACGGGUGUGAGAGUGGAAAGUUCACACUGUGACGGUAUCUUACCAGAAAGGGACGGCUAACUAUGUGCCAGCAGCCGCGGUAAUACGUAGGUCCCGAGCGUUGUCCGGAUUUAUUGGGCGUAAAGCGAGCGCAGGCGGUUAGAUAAGUCUGAAGUUAAAGGCUGUGGCUUAACCAUAGUACGCUUUGGAAACUGUUUAACUUGAGUGCAGAAGGGGAGAGUGGAAUUCCAUGUGUAGCGGUGAAAUGCGUAGAUAUAUGGAGGAACACCGGUGGCGAAAGCGGCUCUCUGGUCUGUAACUGACGCUGAGGCUCGAAAGCGUGGGGAGCAAACAGGAUUAGAUACCCUGGUAGUCCAAGGGCGAAUUCCACAGUGGAUAUCAAGCUUAUCGAUACCGUCGACCUCGAGGGGGGGCCCGGUANCCAGCUUUNGNNCCNANNNNNNGGGGNNUA
This 881-nucleotide ribosomal RNA is filed under the name uncultured Streptococcus sp. RNAcentral describes it as "bacterial SSU rRNA". It matches the Rfam family "Bacterial small subunit ribosomal RNA". The record is from RNAcentral. Lineage: Bacteria; Bacillati; Bacillota; Bacilli; Lactobacillales; Streptococcaceae.